CUUCCAGACUCCUACGGGAGGCAGCAGUGAGGAAUAUUGGUCAAUGGGCGGGAGCCUGAACCAGCCAAGCUGCGUGAGGGAAGAAGGUACAGCGUAUCGUAAACCUCUUUUGUCAGGGAACAAAGACUGGGACGCGUCCCCGGAUGAGUGUACCUGAAGAAAAAGCAUCGGCUAACUCCGUGCCAGCAGCCGCGGUAAUACGGAGGAUGCGAGCGUUAUCCGGAUUUAUUGGGUUUAAAGGGUGCGCAGGCGGAGGCAAAAGUCAGCGGUAAAAUCGGGGGGCUAAACCCCGCUCCGCCGUUGAAACUGUGUCCCUUGAGUGCGCGAAGGGUAGGCGGAAUGCGUGGUGUAGCGGUGAAAUGCAUAGAUAUCACGCAGAACUCCGAUCGCGAAGGCAGCCUACCGGCGCGCAACUGACGCUCAUGCACGAAAGCGUGGGUAUCGAACAGGAUUAGAUACCCGCGUAU
Molecule: ribosomal RNA, 467 nt
Filed under: uncultured bacterium
Lineage: Bacteria
Description: bacterial SSU rRNA
Rfam family: Bacterial small subunit ribosomal RNA
Source: RNAcentral